This 382-nucleotide unclassified non-coding RNA is filed under the name soil metagenome. RNAcentral describes it as "partial contains 5.8S ribosomal RNA, internal transcribed spacer 2, and large subunit ribosomal RNA". The stretch from base 2 to 121 matches the Rfam family "5.8S ribosomal RNA", at positions 35 to 154 of the family's 154-position model. The record is from RNAcentral.
GGAUGAAGAACGUAGCGAAAUGCGAUAAGUAAUGUGAAUUGCAGAAUUCAGUGAAUCAUCGAAUCUUUGAACGCACCUUGCACCCUUUGGCAUUCUGAAGGGUAUGCUCGUUUGAGUGUCAUUGUACUCUCACACUCCCGAUCUUUGCAUUGGGAGCAGUGGACUUGGGUUUGCUGCUUCACCGUCGCUUACCUCAAAUAGGUUAGUGCAACUCUUGGUUGGACAUAGUACGGCGUGAUAAGUGUUCUUCGCCGGUGCCUCGCAAAGAGGGUGGCCGAUCGGGAUGUUUGUGCUCCAAACCGUCUUCGGACAAUCUCUGACGACUUGACCUCAAAUCGAGUAAGACUACCCGCUGAACUUAAGCAUAUCAAUAAGCGGAGGA